GACGGAAAGACCCCGUGAACCUUUACUAUAGCUUGACACUGAACAUUGAGCCUUGAUGUGUAGGAUAGGUGGGAGGCUUUGAAGUGUGGACGCCAGUCUGCAUGGAGCCGACCUUGAAAUACCACCCUUUAAUGUUUGAUGUUCUAACGUGGACCCGUGAUCCGGGUUGCGGACAGUGUCUGGUGGGUAGUUUGACUGGGGCGGUCUCCUCCUAAAGAGUAACGGAGGAGCACGAAGGUUGGCUAAUCCUGGUCGGACAUCAGGAGGUUAGUGCAAUGGCAUAAGCCAGCUUGACUGCGAGCGUGACGGCGCGAGCAGGUGCGAAAGCAGGUCAUAGUGAUCCGGUGGUUCUGAAUGGAAGGGCCAUCGCUCAACGGAUAAAAGGUACUCCGGGGAUAACAGGCUGAUACCGCCCAAGAGUUCAUAUCGACGGCGGUGUUUGGCACCUCGAUGUCGGCUCAUCACAUCCUGGGGCUGAAGUAGGUCCCAAGGGUAUGGCUGUUCGCCAUUUAAAGUGGUACGCGAGCUGGGUUUAGAACGUCGUGAGACAGUUCGGUCCCUAUCUGCCGUGGGCGCUGGAGAACUGAGGGGGGCUGCUCCUAGUACGAGAGGACCGGAGUGGACGCAUCACUGGUGUUCGGGUUGUCAUGCCAAUGGCACUGCCCGGUAGCUAAAUGCGGAAGAGAUAAGUGCUGAAAGCAUCUAAGCACGAAACUUGCCCCGAGAUGAGUUCUCCCUGACCCUUUAAGGGUCCUGAAGGAACGUUGAAGACGACGACGUUGAUAGGCCGGGUGUGUAAGCGCAGCGAUGCGUUGAGCUAACCGGUACUAAUGAACCGUGAGGCUUAACCUUACAACGCCGAAG
RNAcentral lists this ribosomal RNA (864 nucleotides) under Shigella flexneri. Its description in RNAcentral is "partial 23S ribosomal RNA". It matches the Rfam family "Bacterial large subunit ribosomal RNA", at positions 2079 to 2925 of the family's 2925-position model. Lineage: Bacteria; Pseudomonadati; Pseudomonadota; Gammaproteobacteria; Enterobacterales; Enterobacteriaceae. The record is from RNAcentral.